GCCGCCGUGGUGAAAUCGGUAGACACGCUGCUCUUAGGAAGCAGUGCUAGUGCAUCUCGGUUCGAGUCCGAGCGGCGGCA
This 80-nucleotide transfer RNA is filed under the name Melicytus alpinus. RNAcentral describes it as "tRNA-Leu". It matches the Rfam family "tRNA". From Rfam's summary of the family: Transfer RNA (tRNA) molecules are approximately 80 nucleotides in length. Their secondary structure includes four short double-helical elements and three loops (D, anti-codon, and T loops). Lineage: Eukaryota; Viridiplantae; Streptophyta; Magnoliopsida; Malpighiales; Violaceae. The record is from RNAcentral. RNAcentral also lists the same sequence under 10 other names.